RNAcentral lists this ribosomal RNA (289 nucleotides) under uncultured Methanosaeta sp. RNAcentral's name for it is "partial 16S ribosomal RNA". It matches the Rfam family "Archaeal small subunit ribosomal RNA", at positions 1051 to 1338 of the family's 1478-position model. The record is from RNAcentral. Lineage: Archaea; Methanobacteriati; Methanobacteriota; Methanomicrobia; Methanotrichales; Methanotrichaceae.
CCCAGCCCACAGUUGCCAGCGUACUCUCUGGAGUGACGGGUACACGUGUGGGGACCGCCGCUGCUAAAGCGGAGGAAGGAAUGGGCAACGGUAGGUCAGUAUGCCCCGAAUAUCCCGGGCUACACGCGAGCUACAAUGGUUGGUACAAUGGGUAUCUACCCCCGAAAGGGGACGGGAAUCUCCUAAAACCAAUCUUAGUUCGGAUUGAGGGCUGCAACUCGCCCUCAUGAAGCUGGAAUCCGUAGUAAUCGCGUUUCAACAGAACGCGGUGAAUACGUCCCUGCUCCUU